This 450-nucleotide ribosomal RNA is filed under the name uncultured bacterium. RNAcentral describes it as "partial 16S ribosomal RNA". It matches the Rfam family "Bacterial small subunit ribosomal RNA", at positions 29 to 523 of the family's 1533-position model. The record is from RNAcentral.
AACGAACGCUGGCGGCAGGCCUAACACAUGCAAGUCGAACGGCUGUAGCAAUACAGCCGUGGCGCACGGGUGAGUAACGCGUGGGAAUCUGCCCAGUAGUACGGAAUAACAGUUGGAAACGACUGACAAUACCGUAUACGCCCUUCGGGGGAAAGUUUUUCGCUAUUGGAUGAGCCCGCGUCAGAUUAGCUAGUUGGUGGGGUAAUGGCCUACCAAGGCGACGAUCUGUAGCUGUUCUGAGAGGAAGACCAGCCACACUGGAACUGAGACACGGUCCAGACUCCUACGGGAGGCAGCAGUGGGGAAUAUUGGACAAUGGGCGAAAGCCUGAUCCAGCCAUGCCGCGUGAGUGAUGAAGGCCUUAGGGUUGUAAAGCUCUUUUGGCGGGGAAGAUAAUGACGGUACCCGCAGAAUAAGUUCCGGCUAACUUCGUGCCAGCCGCCGCAGUAA